CGUAAGCUGGGUGCCCGUAUCCGGGAUAACCCGGAAUGUAACCAGGCAUGUGUCCAAAUUGGGGUGGAAGCAUGAACUCCAUUCGGUUCCCUUCCAUCUUGCCACCAUUAGCUUCGUUCCCACCAUCUUCACCACCACCCUUGUUCUUCUUCUUCCCUCCGUCGCCGCCCUCCUUGUUGCCAUCCUUCUCUUUCUUAGGAGCUACAAUCUCAACAUGCUUCUUCAGCUUGUCCUUCAAAGCCUCAGCCAAGGCCUUAACAUCCAUAGUCCCCUUAACUGUGACCAUCUCCUUCUGCCUGUCUACUUUCAACUCUUGGACACCUGCAACGCCGUUAAAAACAAUAUGUAUCAAAAGUCAGAAUCGAACGCAAGAAUUUCAACGCCGUAAGAGCAACGGAAAAUCAUAAAGGUCAUCACCUUUGGUUUCAGAGACAAUUUUGCGAAUCCUAUCAAAGCAUCCAUCACACUGGCAUUUCAAUUGCACCUUCAAAUCCGCAGUCGUUACCGGGGCCUGAACAAAGAUAACAAAUAGCAAGCUUAAAUUACAUAAUUUUUUUUUUAAACUUAAACCUCAAGAAAGUAAGUAACAAAAUUUUGAAAUGAUAUAGAAAAUAUGGGAUUUUGUACCUCUUUGGGUUUUUUGUCUGAUUUAUUAUCAGAAUCCUGGUUUUUCUGUUGGUCUGGUUUUUUCUCUUUUUUUUCCUCUUUGUUAUCAUCUUUCUUGGGUUGAGAAGAAAUGAGCUCAACUUUCUUCUUCGUUUUCUUGUCGAGUUUCUCUUUAAUGGCAGUGGGAUCCGCAGUUCCUAUCACCGUCACUUUGUUUGAACUCAUCUCUGGUUUCACCGUCUCCACCCCUGCGACCAAAAAAAAAAUACAGGAAAACAGAGUAAAUAACAAGAGCAGAAUGAAGAAAUGAAGAGGGAAAAGCCAGAAACAAGAAUGGGAAAUAAGCGUGGAAAGCGAUUAUACCUUCAAAGUGAUUAAUGCAUUUGAGGAUUUUGGAAGCACAACCAUCACAGAGACACUCAAAUUUGAAAACAGAGGUUGAAGAACUCUUUUCCUUCAUUUUCCCAUCCCCUCCUCCUUGCUUGUUUCCGUUCUUUUUCUGCAACAAACACGAAGAAUAACCAUAACACAAAAUCAUAUUAAUUAUGAACCAGAAAACGAAAUGAAAGAUGAUGAAAAGAGUAAAAAAAGAGAAAGAGAAACGGAGUUAGGGAGUGUAGUGCUAACUCACCUCUCCCAUUGCGAGUGGAAAUGCGUUAUGUGAAUCGGGUUUAAGUGAUGAUUUGAAAUAUGAGAGGAAAAAAGGAGAAGCAGUAUUUAUAGAGGGGAUGGAUGGUUCAAAAAGCGUGGAAUGAAGGGUGGCUGGCUAAGGGGUUAAGACUUGAGAGUUGGGGGGUACUUCAAGGAAAAAGUGGUGGGCUUCAAAAGUAAAAAAAGAAUUGGAGGUUCUUGGCUGUUUCUUUCUCUGUGUCCAUUUAUGCAACUUAGGAACAUUAAUCCACUCCCUCCCCCAUCACCUGUUCACUCUUGCUUUGCCUCUAGUCCCACCUGAAUCACAGUGGUCUCCCCAAUGAACUUACCUAAUUAUUACUCACACACACCCAUUUAGACUAUCACACAUGUAUAGCUUGCGUCAAUCCUACAACUUUAAGGAUAUAACCAAUAAAUCAAAUGCUAAAGUUCAAAUCUAGAGCAUUUCUUAAUUUGUCCAUGUCAAUCUAUGCAAAUCUUCUCUAUAAGUUUUAUUAAUUAUAUAAUCCAAAUCUCAUUAAUUAAUAAUAUUAUUAAUAUAAAUAUAACAAAGUUCUCUAUAUUUUUUUAAAAAUUUAAAAUUUAGUCCUUAUACUUUCUUUUUUGCGGUUAGAAUUUAUGAUAUGACUUUUAUAAAAUGAAAAGGUAAAAUAACUCUUUAAGCCUUUAACAGUUAAAGUAAUUUAUUAAUUUAGUCCUUACACUUUAAAAUUACAUAAAAGUUAGAAAAAAAUGUUUUAAAAAUUAAAGCUUUUCAUAUUUUCAAUAAAAAAUUGUGAAAAAAUUACAAAUGCAACCAAGGAUCUUCUUUUGAAUAAAUUAAAAGCUUUUUCAUAUUUUCAAUAAAAAAUAUAAAAAAAAUUGUGAAAAAUUAAAAUCUCUUUCAUAUCUUCAAUAAAAAAUUACAAAUCGGGACCGGAGUUUGGUGUUUCUUUUGAAUCGAAUGAGUAAAAUAAUAAUAAAGUUAUAAAAAGUAAGAAAAUACAUGUGAAAAUGAAUGCAAGCAAGGCAGGUGAGAUUCAAGGAUCUUAUACUGCAAAGGGGUAUUGAUGCGAGAGAGAAUGAUUUUGUUAAUAAAUAUCUGUUAUUUCUAUUAACAAUAAUUGACCAUGAUCCCAACUCAUUGCUUUUUUAUGAUUUUUUUUUAUUUUUUAUUGUUGAUAGGAGAAUGGUUAUAUUUUAUUUUUUUACAACUAAAUUUACGUAAAAAUAUUUUAUAUAUAAUUAAGCUGGUUUGAAAUUUUAAUUUUUUUUCAAAUUUGAUUUAAUAUCAACCGAACAAAUAUCUCAAAAUUUAGAGACACCUUAUUACUAUUCAUGAACUAGAUAACAUUUUUUUUUGAAUUUUCGAAAAAAUUAUAUUUUUCAUAGUUGUUUAGUUAUCUAAAAUGACUUUUAUAAUUUUUUUUUAAUUUUAAAGAGGUCUUAAUUUUCAAAAAAAAAAUAUUCAUUAUUGAAAAUAUGAAAAAAGACUUUUAAAUUUUAAAACAAUUUUUUGUAAAUUUUAUGUUCUUUAAAAGUGUAAAGACCAAAAUAAAAAAAAAUUAUAAAUGUUGAGGGCUAAAAGAGUUAUUUUACUUUUUUUUUAUAAUAACCACAUCAUCAAUACUAGCGGCAAAAUUGAUGGAGGGACCAAGAUUUUAAAUAAAAAAAUAUAGGGACUCAAUGUCUCAAAAUUAAAAUAUUAUGGCUAAAUUUUAAAUUUCAAAAGAGUACAAGGACUUUUAAAAUAUUUAAACCUUUUUUUAAAUUUGAAAAAUUAAAAAAAAAUCAAAUAUGAUCUAAAUUCUAAAUGUCGUUAUAGGUGUAUAAUAAUCACAUCUCUAUAAAAUUAUGGCAGACAAAUGAGACUGUUAUAGAGACAAAUGAGAAUGUAUAAUAAUCACAUCUCUAUAAUAAUCACAUCUUUCAAUAGUUUUUUUUUCUCUUGAGAUUAUUCAAUAUUUUAUGGUUACAUUGAAUUUUGAUUAAAUCUCAAAUCAGAUUCUAAACUAAGUGCACGUUGUUUUUUCGAUCAUAAGACUCGAACUUAAAAUCAUACUUAAAACACACUGAGCUCUUAACUACUAAGUCUAACUAAAACUAGUGAAAAAGCGCAAGUUGGUUUGCUCACAGUCUAACUUGAUGUCCCAACUGAUGUUUGGACACAAGUUUGAACAUGACAUUUUGACAACAAUUUAUAAAUGGAGAGUAAAGUAAUGAGAGAAGUCAACAAAUGAUAUUUGUUAACACAAUUCAGAUCAACAAUCUUACUCUGUAGAGCCUCAGUUAGUGAAUGAUUUUAUUCAAUAAUUGUUAGGAUCACCUAUUGGCUUAAGCACUGUAACGACCCGAUAGUUACGGGUAUCGGAAAAUGCAUUUCAGAGACUUUGUUACCAUAAAUCGGACUCGUAAAUAUUUUUAAUAAAUGUUUACAAAGCUAGUUGUGUGGUUAAUUAGGUUUUGGUUAGGUGAAUUUGUAUGAAUUAUGAGUAAUUAGGUAUAAGGAUUAAAUUGUAUAAAGGAUGAAAUUUGAAUUAUAGAUUAAAGAAAAACUAAAAGGACUAAAUAAGCAAUUAUGCUAAUAGUCAUAAUUGAGGCCUCAUAAGUGUAUAUAUUAUAAAAUUUUAAAGUUAAAAAAUAUAUAUUAUAAUUGUUGGCACCAUUUUUUUGAUAAAACGGGUCGACUUGGGUUUUAAAAAAUGAAAACGAAAGUGGGAGUCACCACCAAUCUUUUUAAUGAGGUGUGAUCGGACCACUUUGAAAAGUGAUUGUUUUUAAUAAACAAUUUAAUUUUAUUAAAACAACAAUUUUGGGCCACGAAAUUCAGAAAAAUGGGUUCGGGAGUCGGUUACGUACAAGGAAGGAUUAGCACCAUUGUAACGCCCAAAAAUUGGUACAUAGUUGAUUAAUUAGUAUCUUAAUGUCGAAAGUCGAAAACUUUACAGAAAUCUAAAAUACGAUCCUUUAGUGAAAUGCUAAAAUUGAGAAAAAGACAUAUUUUACAUUGAUCGAGAAGGAGAAUUACAUCCCGUAAGUUAGGAUGCAACGUCUCGAAUUCCCGAUACAAAAAUGAAUAUCGAAAAAGAAUUUACUUAUUUUGAAAGAUAUUUGAUUAUCUCAGGUUUUAAGAAAGAGAUCAUGUCCCGUGAGUUAGAACACGAUCUUUUGUUAAUUCCCGAGUGCAUUUAAAAAACUUUGUUUGAAAUGAUUCGCGUAUUUAGAUUUAUCGAGAAAAUCGAAACCCCGUAAAUUAGGGUACGAUUUUUUUAGAAUAAUCGAAAUACGAAAAAACAGGUUUUGAUAUAUUGAAUAAAGUAAAAUGUAAAAAAUGCGAAAAUAAAUUACAUUGGAUACGCAUGCGAAAUAAUAAUAAAUACGAUAGUGUAACGUGAUACGAACGAUAGUGACAAAAUGAGAUAUGAAAAGAUGAAUUAAUAACAUGCUGAACAAUGAGUAUUUAAGCAUAUAAGAGUGAAACAUUUAAUAUAAUAAUGAAAGCGUGAAUAAACAAAUAAAUAAGUAAAUAUAAUUAUAAAAAUACAAAAGGGGAUAUGUAUAUGUAUAUGUAUAUAAAGUAUAUGUAAUAAGGAAUAUGCAAGCAUGUAUAUAUGAAAAUUAAAAAUAUGUAUAAAAAGGUAUAUAUAAGAUAUUAAAUAUAUGUAUAUAAAGAUAUAUAAAUAAUAUAAGGUAUAAAAUGUAAUAUAUAUUAGAAAGGUAUAUAAAUACAUAAAUAUGUACAUAAGUUAUAAAAUAAAAAGGAUAAAUUUAUGUUUAUAUAUAUUGUAAAAUAUGUAUAUAUAUUAAGAAAAUAUAAGCAUGUGCAUACUUUAUAAUUAUAAAUAAAAAUACAUGUAUAUAUAUAUAGAUUAUAAAAUAUAUGUAUGUAUAUAUAUAUAUGUGUUUUAAAAUAUAUAUGUAAAAAAAAUACAUUAAUAUGUAUAUAGAUUACGAAGUACUAGAUAUAAAAGUAUGUGUAAUGUACAAAUAUUUGAUUAUAAUAACAUUAAUAAUACAGUAAUAAUAUUAUAUAAUAAUAUUAAUGAUAUUAAAACAAUUAAUUUGUUUAAAUAAAAUAACCUAAACAGCAAAAAUAGGAUUAAAUUGAAAAAAAAUUAAACUUUGAGCUCGAAAUUAAAAAUAAAAAUAACUAAAAGGAUUAAAUAAUAAGGCGCGCGAAAGAGAGAGGACCAAAGGGAAAUUUUCCCACGUUGGUUAAACGGUGCCGUUUUAGCGAGGAUUAAUUUGUAAUCAUGGAAAAAUUACGGGAAAAAUUUUAAAAAAACUUAAUUAAAAAAUCCUUAAAAAGCGGAAGGACUAAAAUAGACAAUAUCCCCUCAAACAAAACGCGCUGAUCCUCUGGUCUGGUCGGGUCGACGCGCGGAUCUGGGGGAUGAAACGACGUCGUUUUGUUAGGCUAUUUAAGCCAAGAAUUUUCCAAAAAAAAAACAUUUUUCCCAUUCUCUAAAAAAAAUCCUAAAACUCUCUCUCCCCUCUCUUUCUCCGUUCCUCUCUCCGGCCAGGGCUCGGUCGCCGGCGCCGCUGUAUGCGGCGGUCGAAGGGCCAAAAAAAUCUAUUUUUUUCAGGCGAUUUGAUAGCAGGUAAUGUUCUCUUUUUCUACUUUCUGUCAAUAUGUAUGGAUGUAUGCGUAAUAUAUAAACAAAUACCUAUGUUAGUGGAUGGUUUCGAAAAAAAGAAAAAUAAAUAAAAAAGAAAACUUGGCUUUCCUUUUCUGUUUGUGACUUUCUUUUUGCGUGAAUCUGUUGUUUUUUUGUAUUUUUAAGUAACACUUUGUAUAAAAAAACACCGGAAGAAACAGAUUAUAGCCAAGUUCGGCUUUUAUACAUCUUUAUUACUAGUGCUGUCGUUUCUCUUUAAAUGUUUGCAGGUACUUGAUGGCACGACAAUGGCGGUGGAGCAGAGGGCAGAGGUAAGUGCACCACUUGCUAUGACGUGACAGGUGCUGUGGCACUAGGGUUUCAAUCUCUAAAAAACUAGUUUACUCUUUGCUGGGUUUGGGCUUAGUCCUUUAGUUUGGGCCCCAGGUGUAAUUGGGUUUGAGUAAAAUUGGGCUGUACAAUAAUAUUAUAAUAUUAAAACAUAAAUGUUAAGUAUAUAUAUUAUAUUAUAUUAUAAUAAUAAAACAAAGAAAAAAGAAAUAGAAAGAAAGAAGCAGAGAAAGCCGAACGAAAUAGAAAAGAAAAGGGGAGAAAGGAGAAAGACGAAGGGACUUAGGGGUUUCAAAGUUUUAAGUCAACUGGUUAGUCAAUUUAGUCCUUUUUUAUUGUAAUUUUUAUAUUUUUGGAAUCCCAGUAUUAAAUACUACCCAACCCAUGUCAAAAUUUUAGAAAUUAUUAAGUUUUUAAGUGAUGUUUAUGUUGAAUAAUUUUAGUAUUAGGAAUUAAAUUGAUAGAUUUUUAAGCUAGAAAUGAAAAAUGAUUAAAUUGUAGAACAAAUUGUAAAUUUUGAGUAAUAGGGACUAAAUUGUAAAGAUUUUAAAAUUUAGGAAUUUAAGUGAAAUUAGAGAGUUAAAUCUAGUUUAAAGUGGAAAUUUAAUGAAAAUAUAGGAUUAAAUGUAAAGAAAUAAAGUUAGUCGCGGUUUAGGGACUAAACUGGAAUUUAGACAAAUAUUGAGUAAAAAUUGAAAUAUGCAAUAUGAAAUUGAAUUGUAUUGUAUUGAUGAAUUUUAAUUGUUUUAAUUCCGUAGCUAAUGUCGUACCGAAAUCCUCGAUUAAAAAGGGGAAAGAUAAAGUUGAUGUGAAAUAGCUCGGAAUUCCUGGUUUGUAUUUCUAUAAUCCGAAUCUAGUUAUUAAUUCUUGUAUUUUGAUUUAAUGCUUAUGGGAAGUGGUUGAGGUGAGUAUUUGGUAUUUUGAUAUUGAAUUGAAUUAAAGUUGAUGGAAAUUAAUUGAAUUGGUAUAUAUAUUAUGAUUGUAUUGAUUAUUUGAUUUGAAUUGAAUUUAUGUGAUUAUAUGAAAAAUUGAUAUUGGUUAUUGGUUGUUUUUGAAAUGUGAAAUUUAAACCCUAUUAACUGUAUCGGGUUGAGUCAAAUAUAGAUGGCAUGCCAUAGGAUUGGAAGAGUUCAGGGAUUUCUUCGACUUCGAGUCGAUGAGAAACUAGGUGUCAAUUUACUACUUCGGAUUAAUUCGAUGAGGCACUGUGUGUCAAUUUACUUCGGUUUAACCGAUGAGACACAAGGUGUGAAUUUAUUACUUUGAAUUAUCCGAUGAGGCACUGGGUGCCAAACUAGUGUGUUUUGGUUGGAUCCGUGUAUCCGUCCAAGUACGAGUCGUGUUAAUAGGGGUAAAUAUAUAAUAAAGUUUUAUAAUUGAUAUUGAAAUGGUAUGGUAUGAGAAAUGGAAGUGAAAUAGUGAAUUGAAAAUAGAAAGUGAAGUAUGUUGUAAAUAUAUGGAAUAUAUGAGUUAUAUACUCAUGAAAUGACUAUAAAACGUAUUGGAUCACACGACCAAGGCCAUUUUAAGCCGUGUGGGCCACACGGGUGUGUGGGCCCACACCAGCCGACAACAUGGGCAUGUGGGCCCAUUUUUCACUGUUUUAAUGUUAAGGUUGCACGGGUCACCCGAGACGGCUGUGAACCUUCUGUAGGGUUGGUAAGCUUACCCAAGUCCAUGCACUAUACCCAAGAUUGUAUUGUAGUCCCUCUAUUUGGAAAAAUAGAGUACUAGUCUCCGUUGUUACUAAAAUAGCAAAAUAGUCCCUCCUUUAAAAUUCUGUGGUUAAAUGGUUAUUUUGUAUAUAAAGCUUUGUCCUCGACCUUUACACUUUCUUUAAUUUGGGCACUAUUCAUUUAUUUGGAGUAAAUUGGUACUUAAAUUUUGUUGACGAGAUUGAACUAUUUUGUCUUAUAUAUUAAGUCAACACAUAAUUUGAGAUUCACCAAAAAUUAAAAAUUUAGGAAAAAAUUAUAAAUAAAAUUAUCAAUUUCCAAAAAAUAUAAAAAUAAAUAAAAAAUAAAAAGAACUUAAAAAUUAUAAAUAUAUAUAUGUAGAAGUUUUCUCAAUUUUUAAUAAAAAAUUCUAUGAGAUGCAAAGGAGUUUAACAAAUAAUAAUAAUUUUAAAAAGUCGUUAAAAAAAUUUCACGAUUCUUAAAAAAUGAUAUUAGAAACUUAAAAGAUUAGUUUAAUUAUCAUUUCAAAAAAAUUAGCUUCAUUGUGUAAGUAAUACUAAAUUAAAUUAUCGAUACUUUAUAUACCUUUUCAUAUUUUCCAAAUUUUACUACAGUUUAAUUGAAUAAUUUAUUAAAAAUAUAUUAAAAAUGGAAAAAUAUUAAUUCAAUUACCAGUUCAAUCAAUCUGGUCUUUUCUUCCAAAUCGAUACCUUAAUCGGUUCUCAAUCCAAUGAUUCGAUCGACCAGUCUAGUCUAAUUUUGGAAACAGUUACUUUUUUCAUAAUUUUUGACUUUUUCAUUAUUUAAAAUUCUUUGGCAUUUAAAAAAUAGAAUUUCUUUUUUUCUUAUUGAGUCUUAGCUCGAUUGGCAUGGAUAUUAUUGUCAAUGCAUGAGGUUGUGGGUUCAAGUGCACUAAAGCUUAUUCGCCUCUUAUUUAUGGGUUGUGGAGGGGUUAUUGUAACACCCCUAACACGAGUCCACAGCUGGAAUAGGGUUACGGAGCAUUACCGGAAUUUACAGAACAAAUAGACAAAUAUUUCAAAUAUUCCACAUCAUAUAAUAUACAUGUUAGAAACCAAUUGGAAUUAAACAUAUUGUCCCUUAUACGAGCCCUUGAGCCCAAAAUACACAUUAGAAGCAAAUCGGGACUAAAUCAAAAACUCAAAAAAAAUUUUAGAAACAUUUAAUAUUUUCAACACUGCAGGGCUCACACGGCCGUGUAACUCACUGACUUGUAUUCUUUUAAAAGAUACAGAGGACACAUGACCGUGUUACCUGGCCGUGCGUCACACACGGCUGAGACACACGCCCGUGUCUCUGCACAUGUGGACGAAAAUAAACUAUUUUACAAGCCACAUUUCUCACCCAAUUUGGUGUCAACCCACAAUCAACACUACUUAUAUCUAUAACACCCCUUAACCCAAAUUCAUCGCUAGAUUAGGGUUAUGAGGCAUUACCUAACAAAACACAACUCAGAACAGACAUUCAAUUGAAUUCAAGUACUAGGCAAUAUAAUAUUCUUUAUAAAAGUUUUCUAAAUCAAUUCAUAUAUAUUUAUAUAUUUCACAUAUACAAAUCAUGCUUCAUUAAUACAAAGUUCGAAUCGUAUGAAAUUCAAAUGCAUGACCUUUCGAAUGCCUAAAACAUUAUUGAACACAAAGAACAAAUCAUUGUAUACCAAAUUUGCAUGCUUUAUAAUCAAUUCAAAGUACAUAUACCGAACCAUUCAAGCAUUAUAAAGUUGCAUACAUUGCCAUUACAACUAAAUCAAAAUAACCAAUGUAUAUUCGAAUAUAUAAUCAUCUCAUUCCUAGCAUACAUAAGACAUCCAUUAAUUCAAUUUCAUUUAUUUAAAAAUUACCAAAAAUAUCAUAUACUUAGCCAUUUUAAUUCAUCACAAGAUUAUGAGCAUAAACUAUAAUAACUUAAAGCAUCUUGAACACAAAUAACAACAAAUAUUACACUUAUUUCACAUGCCCAAAUACCAUAGUUAGAAUUCAUACACUUAACCAAUAAAUUAACUACCUAUUCGGUUAUAUAGGAAACCUUAUUUACUUCAUAUUUAUAUAAUCAUGCCAUACACACAUCACAUUUUUUAACAAGCCAAUUAUGUUCAUACACUUAAUUCAUUAUUUACCAUUAAGCAGCCAAACCUUUAUAGUAAAUAUAUAUACAAAUACAUUAUAAGCUUAUAGAUACCUAUAACAUAAAUCCAAUACUUGUCCAUCUAACAUCAAAUUAUUCAAACCGAAACACCUAUUCAUCCUCACUCACAAACCAUACCAUAUAAUGCAUUUUCAAAUAAUUUAAUUACAAAGCCGAAUGACCUUAACACAUUCAUUACUCAUACCUAAUUUACUUAAGUUAAAUCAUAUCAAAUCACCAUAACAAAACAUACUAAGCAUAUCAUACAUAUAUAUAUAUAACACAUAACCAAAAUCACUUAAACUUAACAUUAUUUAUCUUACUAAAAUACAUCAAACAUACCUCAUCUACCUUAUUGCCAAAACACAUGAACAAAACAUCACCAUAUAUAUAUGCCACACCAUGUGAUUACUAUCCAUAUAAGAUUAAACCAUGACCAAAACAAACUUAAGCCAUAAUUAAACCGAAACCGAACACAAGCAAGGAAAUUAAGCCAUUUUCGCAUGGCUUUUAUACAAACACUUUCAAAUUAAACUAACUCCAAAGCUAGCCUAUACAUGCCAUAGUUUCAAAUAAAUUCAUCUUAUAAAAUACUGAAAAUAGUCGAUAGUGUGAUAGGCUUUGCUGACGAUUCCCGAGCUCGUAACUUGACUCCAAAAUCUAUAAAACAGAGGUAAACAAGAACAUACACACAGUAAGCUAUUUAUGCUUAGUAAGUUAUAAGCAAAAACAUUUAUACAUACAUUUGCAUAUUAACAUUAGGAUAAUAAGACCGAUUACACAUAUUUUUCCGAUACGAGUAUAUCAUUUACUACAAGGGUCACACUUUAAUCACACAUACAUAUACCAUAUGGCCGAAUAUAAUCGAUCAUUUACACAUAUAUAUUUUCACUUUUAUUAUCACAAAUACAUCAAUAGGUCGAAUCACUUAUAUGAUCAAAUAUGCUAACCCAUAAUUCAUAUUCACAAAACUUUAUAUCAUUUCAAAUAAUCAACUUACCUUGUUUUCAUUUAAACAAAUAACUAACACAUACCUGAACCUGUAAUUCGAUUUCACAUUUGGUAUUUACUUCAUAUUGCCCGUUGAAUCGUUCAAAGUUAAAAAUGAUACGCGGAUAGUUGGAAAGCUCAUACAAUGCCAACGUCCCAAACGUGGUCUUAUAUGUAAUUACAUAUCGAUGCCACUGUCCCAGACAGGGUCUUACACAUAAACACAAGUCGAUGCCAACGUCCCAGAUGUGGUCUUACACGAAAAACACAUAUCAGAGGUCCUAUGUCAUGACAUAUUUAUCCUAUCUAUUCCUGGGGUUCGUACGGGACUUUCGGACAUUUUAUCUCGAUCAAAACGAGCUCGAAACAUAGUUCCCCUAUCUCAAAUCACAUUCGGCCAAACACAUAUAUAAUCGAAUAAUUCAAUUCAUCACAUAACAUUUAUAUAUUAUCAAGUUUAACAACAUUUAAAUGUCUAUAGACUUACCUCGAAUAUUGAUGGACGGAAUAAUCGACUAUUCGUUUAUUUUUGUUUUUCCCUAAUCCAGUUCCAUUUUCUUUGGUUCUUGAUCUAAACAUAUUCAAAUUCAACCCUUUUAUUCAUCAAAUCAUUCAAUUUAAUCCAAAAACACAUAACUGGGAAAGUUACUAUUUUGCCCCUAACAUUUUACACUUUUUGUAAUUUAGUCCCUAUUGCAUAAAAUUCAAAAUACACAAAAUUUGCAUAUACCAUGCUAGGGCCGAAUAUUCAUAGGCUCCAUACAAGUCCAUAUAUUUAAUUUUUUUCACAUUUUAGUCCCUCAAAAUAUUAUUUUUACAAUUUAACUCUAAUUACUCAAAUUCACCAAAAAUCCCAAAACAAAACAUAUUAAUCUAACACAUAUAUUUCAUAAUUCAUCAACUAUCAUCAUAAAACUCAUAAACUCGUCAAUGGCACAUUUCAAAAUCUUCAUCAAAAUAAAAAAUUCAAGCAUGGGUCUUGAAGUAUUUGAAGCAACGAUUACAAAAGCAUAAAAAUUAUCAAAAACCGAACAAAAACUAACUUUAAAUCAAGCUUCAAAGAUGGCCGAAUAGCUAGGUUUUUCUUCUUUUCUUUUCUUUUCUUUAGUUUCGGCUAGUAGAUAAAGAAAUAAAAGAUGAUAAUGACUUUUAUUUGUUUUAUUAUAACAUUAUAAUAUAAUAUAUAUUAUAACCUUUAUAAAUAAUAAAAAACUAUAUAUUACAAACAUAAUGCCGUCCACUAUCUUUUCAAUGGUCAAAUUGCAACAUAAAACCCCCAUAUUAAAAGAACAACCACUAAUCAGCCCUUUUAGAAAUAACCACUAAAAUUUUAUUUUACGCGAUUUAAUCUUUUUAUUUAAUCAGACACUCAAACAGCAAAAUUAAAGCACAAAAUUUUCACACAAGUAAAUUCACACAUAAUAAACACAGAAAAAGAUUUUAAAAUAUUUUUCUAACUCGAAUUCGUGGUCUUGAAACCACCGUUCCGAUUAGGGUUAAAAUUGGGCUAUUACAAUAUCAACAAGCCGUAAUUAGGCAUCCAAAACAAGCCAAAAUAAGUGUAUUCAUGCAUUCAAUAUACUCAUAUGUAUAACUAACUUAUAUGCAUUUUUGUACCCAAAGUAUACCAAGCUAAUUUUCUUUAUUUCAAACCAAGUCACUUCCUUGCCAAAACAUACCAUUUGGUGCCAAAAUGUAUUUCAAAUACUAACAUAUUUAAAUAUAUAUAUACCUUAUAUAUUAAAGUGUCGAUUCAUGAUAAAUUCAUCACAUUCCAAAUCACAUGUAUAAAAUGCACAUUAGCUAACAUUUUACCUUUCACCAUACAACCAGAAACCAAACCACACAUCAACCAUAUAACACAAAUAUGCACAAAUCAAAAUGUGCCAAAACACAAGCCAAAUAAGUGGCUAAUCUCAACAAAAUACAUAUAGGCCAACAUUAAUAAGAUUACCUAUACAUGCCAUUAUAACCAAAAUCAAAACAUUCGAAAGUACCAAUAGAGAUGAUGGAUAGUGUAAUAUAUCUCCGAUAAGCUUCCAACCCGAUCGAGCUUCCGAUAAUCUAGAAAGUAAAGGAAAACAACUACGUAAAUAAUGAAUGCUUAGUAAGCUCGUAUAAACUUUAAUCAUAUCAAUUCAUUUCAAAUAUGAAAUUUAUACAUAUCAAGAAUAAUCCAAUAUUGAUACCGCAAUACUCGUGAAGUUAUAUUCAAUAACUCACAAGGUGAACAAAUCCACCGCAUCACUUAUACAUAUUAUUCCUAGUAUAUUAGGAUUUUAAGCAACUUUAACUCUUCCAAAUUUCUUUAUUUUCAUUUGAAUUUCUUUACUUUCCACACUUAUUCCAUAUGCAUAAUGUAAUACCCAAUUUUGCCCCGGGGCCCAUUCAGAAUAAGCAGAAAAAAACCAAAAAAAUAAUAAUAAAUAAAAUUCAAUCCAAAAAUAGUCCAUUUACAUUGGCCCAGAUCAAUUUACACAAAAAUAAUAAUAAUACAGACUCUAGCCCCAAAAUAUAACAAGACCUAAUACAAAUAGCCCAUUAAUCUAGCCCGACCUAAACCCGAUUCUUAGCCCAGCAAACCAACUCAGCCCAAAUGGCCCAACACCAAAAUACACAGUAGUAAACCGUAGCAGCAUUCAGCCCCAGUGCGCGCCGUAGUAGCCUCCACGCACGCGUUGAGCUUCCAUCCCACGCACGCCCCAACUGGCCUCCAUACGUGCCACGUCCCCUGACACCGUACGCCGUACCUGCGAACGCAAACAAAACACAGUAGAGAACAAACCAAUGAGAAUUUUUUUGAUUUUUGCUAUUUAUUUUAUUCGAUUUUUUUCGUUUCUUUGUCGAAUGAGGAUAUAAGAACCGAAAACCCUUUGUAUUUCUCCCUUACGCAUUCAGAAUACAAAAAAGAAUCAGAAAUACCGAAAGGUGAUUUUUCUGGGUUUCUAUUCUUUUUCAUUUUACCAGUUAUUCGUUUCCUUUCUUUUCUUUCUUUUAUUUAUUUUUGUGUUCAUUAAUCGGGAGAGAAGAGAAGAGAUAACAGUAAAAGAAAGAAGGAUGUACCUGGUGACCACAUCCUCUCUCUCCAUCGUCAUCGGAGUUGAGUGGGGGUUGGAGGGUCUGAGAAGAGGAUUCGUCGAGCGGCGCAAAGUUUUUAGUUUAGGUUUUGUUAUUGAAAGUGAUAGGGUUUUUUAGGUUUAUUUUAGUCUUAAGCAUAGAAUUUUAAACAUCACCGUUUGUUGCUAAUGCAAUGGCUUCAAAACGGUGUCGUUUUGAUGACUCGAUCCAAACGGUGACCCGAUCCGGGAAGGAUCUGCGCAUUAUGGAUCGUUUGGUUUAUUUAUUUAAUAGGUCCUUAUGCGUUUACUGGAAUGGCGAUUUAAUUUCUUUAAUCAUUUGUAAUUAUACCGUGUAUUUAACUUAGUUUUCAUUUAGGUCCAAACUUGAACGCUGUCGUUUUUGUGAUGGAUUGUGAUGCUUGUGUUUAGUCGCUGGUUUGGUCCUUCAGUUUUGAAAUAAAUUUUAAUUUAGUACAAAUUUAGUUUUCUUUCUUAAAAUUCAGCAAUAUUUUAAUUGUAAUUAAUCCUACUUGCAUAUAUUAUAAAGUCUAACAUUAUUUGUAAUAUUUGAUUUUGAUAAUGUUUUAAAUCUACUAUUAUUAUAAUUUAAAAUAUAAUAAACCAUCAUUUUAGUUUGUAUUUCAUAUUUUUAAGUUCAUUAUAUAAUAAAAUUUUGAAUUUACUAUAUAUUUAUUUAAUUUUGUUUUUUUUCUUUUAGGUUCAAAUUUUAUUUAAGCUCCAAUUUUAAACUUUUUAAUAUUUUUCUUAUAAUUGUUGUUAUCACUUUUCAAAGUUGUUUUAUUAUAUUUAAUUUUAUCUUCAAAAAAUGUUUUUAAAAUAAAUUAAUUUCUAUUUUAAUUCAUUUUUAACAUUACUUUGAUAUUUAGUAUGAUAUUGUUUUUAAAAAAAAACAUAAUACAUAAUUUUUUUAAAUUAUUAUCAAUAUGUUUUAAAUUUAUCAAUAUUAUUUUAAAAAUAUAUAAUUUAUAUGAAAUUAUUUUUAGUAUAUAUAUGUAUAUAGAGUAUAUCAUUAAUUUCGAAUUAACCUUUUUUUAUGAUUUUUAUACAUAAAUGUUUCAUUUCUUAAACCUUAUUUAUUCGUUUUAUGGGUUGUUAAAUUGUUAAUAUGGACGUUUGUAUGAUAUGAUUAAGGUCAAUGUUUGUAUUUGCCUAUUAUUUGUUUAAUUGCUUGUAAUUUAAGUUUAAAUUGUUAUUUAUCUUUUACAUUACAUGUAUCGUUAUUCAAUCAUGUUCCAUUUGUAAGAGUUGAAUUUUAUUAAAGCAUUAUAAUCAUUUUAUUUCAUGAUUCUUAAAAAAGGCUUGGUAUUCAUAGGUUCUCGAGAGAAUUGUGCCCUAACUUACUAGGCUUCAAUUCUUCUCGAUGAAUUUAGAUAAUCAAGUGUUCAUUUUAUUAAAACCAUAUAAUUAUUAAAACAAAAUUCUUAAGAUUUAAAAUGUUGGAUCCUAUCUUACUAGAUACGACAUUUUGUUAUUUCGAUUUUAAAAUAAAGGCAAUAUUUGAUGUUUAAGAAUUUCGAGAAAUUGAACCCUAACUUACUGGAUUCUGAUUUCUCGAUUGACUUAAAUAAUCAAAUAUCCUUCUUAAAACAUGUUUUAAAAAAUUUUAAAAGGAACGAAUCUAACUUUGAAGAUUGAACUGUUGCACUCUAACUCACUGAGUGUGGCGGUCUAUUUCUUUGAAAUGGGUCCGUCUAUUUAACCAAUUCAAUUAUUUAAGCUUUCAUUUCAUGGGAUUGUAUUUAAAAAUCUUUUCAAGUUUCGACACUAAGACAUUAAAUAAUCAAUUCGGUACCAAUUUUGGGCGUUUCGAGGGUGCUAACCCUUCCUCGUGUGUAAUCGACUUCAGAACCUGUUUUCUCAAAUCUCGUAGACCAAAAUCGUUUUAAGGUGAGCCGAUCACACCCCAAUAAAGGAUUGGUGGCGACUCCAAUUUUUAUUUUUAAUAAGUCGAUAACUAAAUUUUUUGUUUUCGAAAAAUGGUUUCGACACAUAACAUACCAGUCAUAAACAUAUCAUUCAACCAUAGCCACAAGCUAAUGCAUCUAAACAUAGCCUUUUUCGAAUUAAUCACCUGAUAAGUCAUUUCAUAAGAAAUUGUAUAACUUAAACCUUACCACUCAUUCAUGAGCACAAGUAUAUUUUCAUUUGAGCACUUACCCUUUCAACGCAUCAUAUAAUAAACAUAUUACUAUUUAACCAGUAACUUGGAACUUGUCUAAGCGUCAACAACAACCCUUGUUAGCAUACUUGAACUUAUUUCAUAUAAAUUCAACAUUGAUAAACUUAUUUUAUCAACGUAUCACACUUGAGUAUAUUACUCAUCACAACAUACAUAAUUUCCAUGUAUCAACAUAUCAAGAUAUUGAUAUCUAUACAUAUCAUGACACAUAUCAUUCUCUUACUAUUUCUUCAUAUACAUAUAUCAUCCAAAAACAACUCCUAUUAUUUUACCAUUCGAAGAACAACUUACGGAUAUGAGUACAUCGCUUUCAAAAGCCCGAAGGCUAAAUAGAAGCUCAUGAAAGCUAAACAGAAAGUAAACACGAAAGUUCGCAACAAAUGUUGAACCUUGGUUUACUUGGGUAAUUUACCGUCAAUUCACCAUUUACAUUAGAAGUGCCAUAACCCAGUUAUGGUCUUAUCAUCAGAAUGCCAUAGCCAGCUAUGUUCUUACAUAUAAACACUGCCAUGGUCCAACCAUGGUCUUACGUUCAUAGUGCCAUAACCCAGUUAUGGUCUUACCAUCAGAAUGCCAUAGCCCAGCUAUGGUCUAACAUAUAAAUAUUGCCAUGGUCCAACCAUUGUCUUACGUUCAUAGUGCCAUAACCCGGUUAUGGUCUUAUCCGUCAAUUCAUCCUUUGCCACAGAACGAUUGUACUCAAUCUCACGUUCAAUCCAAACUGAGUAUUAAAUUCGAUAAUAUAUUUCCAAUAAUAAUUCAAUUCCAACAAUAGAACACACAUAUAUAUAGAAUAUCCAUCACCAAAUAACAUUCACUUUAAUCAAAAUUAUACAGAAUAUAGUUCAUACGAACUUACCAGGCUAAAUUGCAGAAAUACCAAGAUAUAGGGGUAUUUUGGUAAUUUUCUAUUUCCCUCGAUUUUCCACCCGAUCUUGAUCUAAAUUAAUAUUUCAUUAAAUUUAUUAAUUUAAAUAAUAAAACAAUUCAUUUCAUGCAAUUUGGUAUUUUUGACAUUAUUACAAAAUUGCCUCUAAAAUUUUACUUUUAUUCAAUUUAGUCCCUGAGCCCAAAUCAUGCAAAUUAACCAUUUUUAAUGCAAAUCCAUGCCAACAUAAUAUUCAUGGCAUUAAAUACAGCCCAAUUUCGCAAUAAUUUCACAACAAGACCUUGUAUUUUUACUAUUUCAACCAUUUAGUCCCUAAUCGGGAAAUUCAUCAAAAAGCACUUAAUAAAAUACUUUUAAUUAACAACUAAUAUCUCAAAUUCAUAAUUUAACAUCAAGAAUCAUAUAUAUUCAUCAAUGGCAACAUCCAAAAUCUUUAACAAAAUAAAAAACAAAGGUAAGAUUUAAUUGGACUUAAUUGUAACAAUCUCAAAAACGUAAAAACUAUUAAAAAUGGAGCUAAAUUUAACUUACCUGCAGCAAAAAUAUGAAAACCAACUUGAGCUCUCCCCCUUCUCUAUUUUUAAACCGAAAAUUGGAGAAGAAAAGCCUAGAAUGCUUUUAAAUUUCAAUUUGCCUUAUUUAAUUUCAAUAUAAUUACAAUUUUACCAUUGUUUCUUUUUAUUUUAUUAUUAUUUUUAUUCAUAUGCCGCCUCAUUCAUUAAUUUAGGCAUAUUUAUCACUUAAGUCCCUCCUUAUUUAUUAAUCAAGCCAUUUAGUCACAUUAUUAUAAUUAGCAAGUUUUACACCUUUUUCAAUUUAGUCUUUUUUAAUUAAUUAACUGUUAAAACGUUAAAAUCUUUCAACGAAACUUAAAUACUACCUUAAUGUCACUCCGUAAAUAUUUAUAAAAAUAUUUAUGACUUAGUUUAUAGAAACGAGGUCCCGUUACCUUAUUUUCUAAAACCACUUGAACUAGGGUUUUAUCACUCGAAUCUAAUAAUUCAUUGUAAGACAUAAAUUACUAAUUCAAAAAAAAUUAAACCAUAUUUGACUCGUAAAUAUUAAAUAACAAAAUUUACGAGCUUACUCGCCAUAUUUGGUGGCGUUGAACUACUGUUUCCAAUAUCACUAAAAAUCGGGCUGUUACAGUUAUGGGUAGUUCUAGGUAUUGUGUUAAAAAGAGCAGAUAUGAUCAAAACCUAUAAUAAGAUGAUUAAAAAGAAUUGAUUUUUUAUUGAAAUUAAAAAAAAAAGUAGUUUAUAUUUUUUGUUGUUUUACAUUUUCUACUUUUUAUUGCCAUGAGAGUUGCAACUUUAGUGUCUCAUGCAAUUUCAAAGUAGGUGUUAAAUUGUAAUGGAAUUUGACUCAAAAUAAUAAUAAAAAGUUGUAUAUAAAGUCAAAUUGAAUAAAGAUAUUAAAGGUUAGAGGCUAAUUUAUUAUAAUGCCUUAAAUAUAUAUAUAUAUAUAUAAACCCAAAUAAGUACUUAACGAAAUCUAUGGCAUUUUACUGAUAAUUUGCUUGGUUUAUGAAAAAAUGUGAAUUUUUUUAAUUAAUAAAUAUAUUGGAUGUAAUGGUAAGUGGGCAAUCAUGGAGAGGAAGCAUACAUAGAUGGUGGAGAAAGUAGAAAAAGCCUUGGAAUAUUAAAGGAUUGGUUGGGACCAAAAUAUUAAUUAAUUUGGGUUUAAGACUAAUUUUUGGUUGCUCACAUUAUUCAAUAGGUGUUACGCAAUAAAUUAUUCCACAUAUCACAAAAAUUAAAAGUAAUUUAUAAAUCGAACAAAAAUAGAACUCCGUUCCGUUCCCUUCCAUCUUGCCACCAUUAGCUUCGUUCCCACCAUCUUCACCGCCACCUUUGUUCUUCUUCUUCCCUCCGUCGCCGCCCUCCUUGCCAUCCUUCUCUUUCUUAGGAGCUACAAUCUCAACAUGCUUCUUCAGCUUGUCCUUCAAAGCCUUAGCCAAGGCCUUAAUAUCCAUAGUCCCUUUAACUGUGACCAUCUCCUUCUGCCUGUCUACUUUGAACUCUCGGACACCUGCGAUGCCGUUAAAAACAAUAUGUAUCAAAAGUCAGAAUCGAACGCAAGAAUUUCAACGCCGUAAGAGCAACAGAAAAUUGUAAAGGUCAUCACCU
RNAcentral lists this long non-coding RNA (19273 nucleotides) under Gossypium barbadense (sea-island cotton). Its description in RNAcentral is "long non-coding RNA (GBAR_LNC018841)". The record is from RNAcentral. Lineage: Eukaryota; Viridiplantae; Streptophyta; Magnoliopsida; Malvales; Malvaceae.